UUCCGGUUGAUCCUGCCGGACCUUACUGCUAUCGGGGUGGGACUAAGACAUGCGAGUCGAGCGUCUCUAGCUAUGUUGAGACGCGGCAGACGGCUCAGUAACACGUGGCUAACCUACCCUCAGGACGAGGAUAAACCCGGGAAACUGGGGCUAAUACUCGAUAGGUGAGAAUGUCUGGAAUGAUUUCUCAUUCAAAGGGCUUUAGAAACAUGCUUCUAAAGUCGCCUGGGGAUGGGGCCGCGUCCGAUCAGGUUGUUGGUGAGGUAACGGCUCACCAAGCCUAUAACCGGUACGGGCCGUGAGAGCGGUAGCCCGGAGAUGGGUACUGAGACAAGGACCCAGGCCCUACGGGGCGCAGCAGUCGCGAAAACUCCGCAAUGCACGAAAGUGUGACGGGGCUACCCCGAGUGCCAUCCGCUGAGGAUGGCUUUUCUUUGGUGUAACUAGCCGGGGGAAUAAGGAGAGGGCAAGACUGGUGUCAGCCGCCGCGGUAAUACCAGCUCUCCGAGUGGUAGGGAUGAUUAUUGGGCUUAAAGCGUCCGUAGCCGGCUUAGCAAGUCUCCUGUUAAAUUCAGCGACCUAAUCGUUGAGCCGCGGGAGAUACUACUAGGCUAGGAGGCGGGAGAGGUCGACGGUACUUCUGGGGUAGGGGUGAAAUCCUAUAAUCGCGGGAGGACCACCAGUGGCGAAAGCUGUUGACUAGAACGCGCUCGACGGUGAGAGACGAAAGCUGGGGGAGCGAACCGGAUUAGAUACCCGGGUAGUCCCAGCCGUAAACGAUGCGAGCUAUGUGUUGGGGUGGCCUACGUGCCACUUCAGUGCCGCGGGGAAGUCCAUUACGCCCGCCGCCCUGCGGUAGGACGGCCCGCAAGCCUGAAACGUAAACGCACUGGUCGGGAUGGAGCACCUACCAAGCCGUGAUAGCUGCAGGUCCAGGUGGGAAUCAACGCCCGGU
This 955-nucleotide ribosomal RNA is filed under the name uncultured archaeon. RNAcentral describes it as "bacterial SSU rRNA". It matches the Rfam family "Archaeal small subunit ribosomal RNA", at positions 1 to 923 of the family's 1478-position model. The record is from RNAcentral.